AAUGGUGUCUUUGUUCUUUUUGUUCCCAGAUCACUCUGUUCUUAUCUCCAUAAUGUACGUGUUUUAUUGUUAUCCAGGGCAGGGCUCAUCUCUCAUUCGCCGGUAUAUUCAAGAACAUAAAAGUGUUGCCCAUUCCUGUUCUAUGAUUAAAAUUAAUGAGAAGAUGUAUUGUUACAGUGUUUAAGAAAAGGCACUUAUCAUUGAAGAAGACAAAUGUAGAGACAUCCCCAAGUGAAACAAUCUAUUUAUACAGCUCAGAAAUUUACUUAACACAGGACUGAGUAUACCUUGAAGCAAUCUCCAGAGAAGAGGUAAGCAAAUCAAGCAAACGAUAAGAAUACAACAAUAAAUAAGAAACAAGCAAACCUAGGAGUUUUAAGGGAGCAAUUACUACUUAAAGUAAAAAACUGUUAUUCCAUUUCGUUCCAUUUCCCUUAUAUUCCAUUUCCCUUAUAGCUCCUACUACUAGAACUCCUACUAUGAAGCCCACAGCUUCACCAGAGAAUUCUUCUUGCAGAAGAUGAAAGCAAUGACAAAGACCUCUUAUAUCUCUUCUCCUUUUGUAAAUAAAACUCCUAUCAAUUUUAUAUGUCUUUCUGGGAAUAAGAAAGACAGUCACACAAUGUAUCGUUCACCUUGUAAAAUGUGACAUUACAAAUGACUGCCAAAAGUAUGGAACUUUUUUAUUGAAAGCUCUAUUAAGUCAUACAAGUAAUUUACUUCCCCCAAAAUAUAUUUACUACUGUGCCUAUUCUGUGGAGUCUCACCAACAGAAGUGCACGCAGACUGCUGCUUUUGAAAAUUAAAGAAAAAUAUGCAUGACUAUGUUAUUGAUGAAUGAGAAAUCAUAUACUGUUUAAAAUAAUGUACAUCUUGGAGUUUAUAGAAAAUAAUUUCUACUUGUGUACAGAAUCAUGCCUUAAUAAUAAACCUUUACUGAUCA
Molecule: long non-coding RNA, 943 nt
Filed under: Mustela putorius furo (domestic ferret)
Lineage: Eukaryota; Metazoa; Chordata; Mammalia; Carnivora; Mustelidae
Description: lncRNA (ENSMPUG00000030848.1)
Source: RNAcentral